This 256-nucleotide ribosomal RNA is filed under the name uncultured bacterium. RNAcentral describes it as "partial 16S ribosomal RNA". It matches the Rfam family "Bacterial small subunit ribosomal RNA", at positions 96 to 353 of the family's 1533-position model. The record is from RNAcentral.
CGGCGGACGGGUGAGUAAUGUAUGGGGAUCUGCCCGAUAGAGGGGGAUAACUACAGGAAACGGUGGCUAAUACCGCAUAACGUCGCAAGACCAAAGAGGGGGACCUUCGGGCCUCUUGCCAUCGGAUGUGCCCAGAUGGGAUUAGCUAGUAGGUGGGGUAACGGCUCACCUAGGCGACGAUCCCUAGCUGGUCUGAGAGGAUGACCAGCCACACUGGAACUGAGACACGGUCCAGACUCCUACGGGAGGCAGCAUG